CGCGUAGGUGGUAGUGCAAGUCUGGGGUGGAAUCCCAGGGCUUAACCCUGGAACUGCCUUGGAAACUGUAUUACUUGAGUCAGUGAGGGGAGGGUAGAAUUCCUGGUGUAGCGGUGAAAUGCGUAGAUAUCAGGAGGAAGGCCUGUGGCGAAGGCGGCCCUCUGGCGCUGAACUGACACUGAGGCGCGAAAGCGUGGGGAGCAAACAGGAUUAGAUACCCUGGUAGUCCACGCCCUAAACGGUGGGUACUAGGUGUAGGGCUCGUAAGGGUUCUGUGCCGAAGCGAAAGCGUUAAGUACCCCGCCUGGGGAGUACGGCCGCAAGGUUGAA
Molecule: ribosomal RNA, 330 nt
Filed under: uncultured bacterium
Lineage: Bacteria
Description: bacterial SSU rRNA
Rfam family: Bacterial small subunit ribosomal RNA
Source: RNAcentral